GACGAACGCUGGCGGCGUGCUUAACACAUGCAAGUCGAGCGGUAAGGCCCUUUCGGGGGUACACGAGCGGCGAACGGGUGAGUAACACGUGGGUGACCUGCCCUCAGCUCUGGGAUAAGCCUGGGAAACCGGGUCUAAUACUGGAUAUGACUCCAUGACGCAUGUUGUGGUGUGGAAAGCCUUGUGCGGCUGAGGAUGGGCCCGCGGCCUAUCAGCUUGUUGGUGGGGGAUGGCCUACCAAGGCGACGACGGGUAGCCGGCCUGAGAGGGCGACCGGCCACACUGGGACUGAGACACGGCCCAGACUCCUACGGGAGGCAGCAGUGGGGAAUCUUGCGCAAUGGGCGAAAGCCUGACGCAGCGACGCCGCGUGAGGGAUGACGGCCUGGUGUAAC
This 395-nucleotide ribosomal RNA is filed under the name uncultured bacterium. RNAcentral's name for it is "bacterial SSU rRNA". It matches the Rfam family "Bacterial small subunit ribosomal RNA", at positions 28 to 429 of the family's 1533-position model. The record is from RNAcentral.